CGGCUUAGGGACGACCCUAAAUACGCCGAUAUCAAUUUGGGGACGACCCCG
This 51-nucleotide non-coding RNA is filed under the name Shewanella sp. MR-4. Its description in RNAcentral is "mini-ykkC.2008-01-16 RNA". It matches the Rfam family "Guanidine-II riboswitch aptamer (mini-ykkC)". From Rfam's summary of the family: Simpler in structure and has fewer highly conserved nucleotide positions than the ykkC-yxkD leader. Lineage: Bacteria; Pseudomonadati; Pseudomonadota; Gammaproteobacteria; Alteromonadales; Shewanellaceae. The record is from RNAcentral.